UAUUAUAUUGUGAGUAAUUAAAAAUGCUGGAGUAGUAAGAGUUAAGGGCUUGAAACUCAGAGAAUUUGACGGUAUUGUAGUCCUUUCAGAGGAACUUGUCCUGUAAUUGAUAAUACACGAGUGUAGUACUUUAUUUUAUGGUUAAUUUGUAUAUCGCCGUCAUAAGAUUAUCUUAAUAAGAGUGAAAUUUCUUGAUUUUAGAUUAAAAAGUAUGUCAGGUCAAGGUGCAGUUUAUGAUAAAGGGGUGAUGAGUUACAAUAAUUUUAAUUAUACGGAUAAUGGUAUUAGGGGUUAUUUGAAGGUGGAUUUGAUUGUAAAUUUGUGUAUUGGCAGAUUGAUUAUGGCUCUAUAAUGUGUACAUAUCGCCCGUCGCUCUCAUUUGUUGUUGAG
This 390-nucleotide ribosomal RNA is filed under the name Unithema guadelupensis. RNAcentral's name for it is "partial 12S ribosomal RNA". Lineage: Eukaryota; Metazoa; Arthropoda; Insecta; Orthoptera; Phalangopsidae. The record is from RNAcentral.